Molecule: ribosomal RNA, 1616 nt
Filed under: human gut metagenome
Description: bacterial LSU rRNA
Rfam family: Bacterial large subunit ribosomal RNA
Source: RNAcentral
AGUUCCAGAGUACGGCCAGACACGUGAAACCUGGUCGGAAGAUGGGGGGACCACCCUCCAACCCUAAAUACUACCCAGUGACCGAUAGCGUAUAGUACUGUGAAGGAAAGGUGAAAAGGACCCCGGGAGGGGAGUGAAAUAGAACCUGAAACCUUGUGCCUACAAGCACAUAGAGCACAUCAACGUGUGAUAUGGUACUUUUUGUAGAACGGUCCGGCGAGCGAUUGUAUGUUGCGAGCUUAAGGUCUUAAGGACUGGAGGCGUAGCGAGAGCGAGUCUGAACAGGGCGUUCAGUAACAUGCAAUGGGCCCGAAACCGGGUGACCUACCCAUGAUCAGGCUGAAGUGAAAGUAAAAUUUCAUGGAGGGCCGAACCGACCUCCGUUGAAAAGGCGGCGGAUGAAUUGUGGGUAGCGGAGAAAUUCCAAUCGAACUCGGAGAUAGCUGGUUCUCCCCGAAAUAGCUUUAGGGCUAGCCUCAUAUUAGAUACCCGGAGGUAAAGCACUGAAUGGCCUAGCGCCCGAGAGGGUAGCGAAGCCUAUCAAACUAAGAAUGCCGGAGUAUUGAUGUAUGGGAGUCAGACAGUGUGAGAUAAAUCUCAUUGUCAAAAGGGAAACAGCCCAGAUCUACAGCUAAGGUCCCAAAUUGUAUCUAAGUGGAAAACGAUGUGGAAAUACGCAGACAACCAGGAUGUUGGCUCAGAAGCAGCCACUCAUUUAAAGAGUGCGUAAUAGCUCACUGGUCGAGCGUCUCUGCGCGGAAAAUUUAACGGGGCUAAGAUACAAACCGAAGCUUAGGCUGCACGUAAGUGCGGGGUAGGGGAGCGUUGUGUAAGCGGAGAAACAGUAGCGUAAGCGGCUGUGGAGUUUACAGAAGUGAGAAUGCCGGAAUGAGUAGCGCGAAUGUGGUGAGAAUCCACAUGGCCGGAAACCUCAGGUUUUUGGAGGAAGGUUCGUCCGCUCCAAGUUAGGCGGGAGCUAAGGUCAGGCCGAAAGGCGUAGCCGAUGCACAGACGGUAGAGAUUCCGUCCCCACCGAAAGAUUUAAGCACAGGGACACUUUUUGAAGGUCGGAGCCAGGUGUUGGUUCUGGUAGUGAUCGAGGGAAAUAUAGUACCGAAGUCCGGCUGGAAGAGAGGCGAGAAAAGCUGUGUGUAUAUCUAAGGUGCCCGUACCGCAAACCGACACAGGUAGGUAGGAAGAAGAUUCUAAGGCCAACGGGAGAAGGGUUGUUAAGGAACUCGGCAAAUUGACCCCGUAACUUCGGGAGAAGGGGUGCUCCAGAGAUGGAGCCGCAGAGAAUCGGCCCAAGCAACUGUUUACCAAAAACACAGGUUUGUGCUAAAUCGAAAGAUGACGUAUACGAGCUGACGCCUGCCCGGUGCUGGAAGGUUAAGAGGAGAUGUGCAAGCAUUGAAUCGAAGCCCCAGUGAACGGCGGCCGUAACUAUAACGGUCCUAAGGUAGCGAAAUUCCUUGUCAGGUAAGUUCUGACCCGCAUGAAAGGCGUAAUGAUUUGGGCACUGUCUCAACAGCCCGCCCGGCGAAAUUGUAGUACCGGUGAAGAUGCCGGUUACCCGCGACAAGACGGAAAGACCCCAUGGAGCUUUACUGUAGCCU